UCAAAUCCCUGCAGGGGGAGACCAGCAGCCCCAACUUUAGCUGCCAUGCCUCCUGCCUGAGAAGCUAGCUGUGAAGGUUCCAGAAGGAGACUGCCCUCCAGGAAUAGAAACAGCGCAUGACUGCGACCUGUCUGCAAAAAUCUUUAUCACUUGUAAAUCCUUCUCCACCUGAUAAGUUAUCUCAUUGGCUCAUGAUGGUUUUUUUCAUUCUCACCCUAUGGCAUGGAUGCUGUUACUACCCCAUUUUACAAAGGAGUAAAGUGAGGCCCAGAGAGAACAGUUAAAUCACUUCCCCAGCUUCACUCAACUCAUCCGCGAUGAGUCCACGGUACACAUGCCCUUCCACAACACAAAGGUCUGCACUUUGCCACGUGUACUCUGAUUGUUCUAGGUGCAGAUUUUGUGUCCGCUUCUUUACUUCUAAUGGCCACUCCAUUUUGCAUUGGAUGGUUACACCGUCAUUUAUUUGACUCAUCUCCUAUGCACAAGCAUCUAGUUUAUCUCCAAACUUUUGCUACCGAAAACAAUGCUGCAAUGAAUAAAUAAGCUGAUGCAUGCUUCUG
Molecule: long non-coding RNA, 563 nt
Filed under: Pongo abelii (Sumatran orangutan)
Lineage: Eukaryota; Metazoa; Chordata; Mammalia; Primates; Hominidae
Description: lincRNA
Source: RNAcentral